Rhinichthys klamathensis goyatoka is the source of this 629-nucleotide long non-coding RNA. RefSeq lists it as uncharacterized. NCBI's taxonomy places the organism in Eukaryota, Metazoa, Chordata, Actinopteri, Cypriniformes, Leuciscidae. The record is from RefSeq and is a predicted model, not a curated record. The transcript has 3 exons.
AAGAGGAAGUGAAUCCAGAUCAAGUCGGUCUGGUACGUCCUCCUGCUUGACCCUACUUCUCUCUAGUCCAGAGACAUAAUCUGUAAGACCUCGCACAAAGUCUUCACUAACUGGGACAUAUAUAGCACGACCUCUUUCAUGGGAACAAUCAGUGGACCAGGGUGCCAUGGCAUCAUAUUUGUCUGUCCCCAACACAGCCAGUGGAGAUGAGGCACAAGACGAUAAAGAACAUUCGGCAACGUUGGAUAUGAGCAGAAGCUUUGGGGAAAUGCUUUUAUGCGACACAAGUUUUUCGCCUUCUAGCGACACCCCAACAUCAACCUCUGGUUCAGGUUCUGGCUCUGAAAAAGAACCGGAACACGAAAGAAAGUGGAUUGUGAAUGAAUCCAAACUAUUAGAACUGUUCAACACAUGCAAGACCUGCGGCUCAGCAGUGGAAAACAAAAGGAUUAUAACCCAUGGCAGCCAAAUCAGAGUUCUUUGGACAUGCUUGAAUGAUCACCCUGGAAGUUGGGCUUCAUGUCCAGACAUUAGAGGGAUGGCAGAAAAUAACCUGCUCAUCAGCGCAUCCACUUUCUUCACAGGAACCACCCAUACCACCAUUUCUGACUGGGCUGACCUUCUUCAUA